This 496-nucleotide ribosomal RNA is filed under the name uncultured bacterium. Its description in RNAcentral is "partial 16S ribosomal RNA". It matches the Rfam family "Bacterial small subunit ribosomal RNA", at positions 28 to 506 of the family's 1533-position model. The record is from RNAcentral.
GAUGAACGCUGGCGGCGUGCCUAAUACAUGCAAGUCGAGCGAACAGACGAGGAGCUUGCUCCUCUGACGUUAGCGGCGGACGGGUGAGUAACACGUGGAUAACCUACCUAUAAGACUGGGAUAACUUCGGGAAACUGGAGCUAAUACCGGAUAAUAUAUUGAACCGCAUGGUUCAAUAGUGAAAGACGGUUUUGCUGUCACUUAUAGAUGGAUCCGCGCCGCAUUAGCUAGUUGGUAAGGUAACGGCUUACCAAGGCAACGAUGCGUAGCCGACCUGAGAGGGGGAUCGGCCACCCUGGAACUGAGACACGGCCCAGAACCCUACGGGAGGCAGCAGGAGGGAAUCUUCCGCAAUGGGCGAAAGCUUGACGGAGCAACCCCGCGGGAGUGAUGAAGGUCUUCGGAUCGUAAAACUUUUUUAUUGGGGAAGAACAAAUGUGUAAGUAACUAUGCCCGUCUUGACGGUACCAAAUCAGAAAGCCACGGCUAACUACGU